UACUACACUUGAUCUUAGCCA
RNAcentral lists this small nuclear RNA (21 nucleotides) under Arabidopsis thaliana (thale cress). RNAcentral's name for it is "snRNA_08499". Lineage: Eukaryota; Viridiplantae; Streptophyta; Magnoliopsida; Brassicales; Brassicaceae. The record is from RNAcentral.